This 468-nucleotide ribosomal RNA is filed under the name uncultured bacterium. RNAcentral describes it as "partial 16S ribosomal RNA". It matches the Rfam family "Bacterial small subunit ribosomal RNA", at positions 28 to 507 of the family's 1533-position model. The record is from RNAcentral.
GACGAACGCUGGCGGCGUGCUUAACACAUGCAAGUCGAACGGAAAGGCCCUGCUUUUGUGGGGUGCUCGAGUGGCGAACGGGUGAGUAACACGUGAGUAACCUGCCCUUGACUUUGGGAUAACUUCAGGAAACUGGGGCUAAUACCGGAUAGGAGCUCCUGCUGCAUGGUGGGGGUUGGAAAGUUUCGGCGGUUGGGGAUGGACUUGCGGCUUAUCAGCUUGUUGGUGGGGUAGUGGCUUACCAAGGCUUUGACGGGUAGCCGGCCUGAGAGGGUGACCGGCCACAUUGGGACUGAGAUACGGCCCAGACUCCUACGGGAGGCAGCAGUGGGGAAUAUUACACAAUGGGCGGAAGCCUGAUGCAGCAACGCCGCGUGCGGGAUGACGGCCUUCGGGUUGUAAACCGCUUUCGCCUGUGACGAAGCGUGAGUGACGGUAAUGGGUAAAGAAGCACCGGCUAACUACGUG